This 902-nucleotide long non-coding RNA is filed under the name Homo sapiens (human). RNAcentral's name for it is "HSALNT0191780". Lineage: Eukaryota; Metazoa; Chordata; Mammalia; Primates; Hominidae. The record is from RNAcentral.
GUGACGGUGCGCGGAGGCGGUGGUGGAGUUGCUUCCCCUGCUAGGCGGGCUCGAACCGGGCGGGAGUCACUGUCCACCUUGCUUCGCCAGGGUGUUAUCGCCAGCCAGUCCCCUUCCGCAUGCCCAAGGGCAGCCUCAGGAAGCGAGCCCACCACCGUCGGCCCAGCGCCUGUUGAUCGGCCAGGCCUUCUGGGCCGGUCAUACUGGGCCCUUCCUAACCUGAGGAGAUUGCACAGUAGGGCUCCCUGGUCUGGUCAGGGCUCAGUUAGGACCCCUCUCCAGCCUUAGGCUUGGUGAAAGCUUUAGCGAAACAGAAAAAAGAACGCAUCGUGGUGUAGAGUGUAUGGCCUAAGAAGCAUUCGCUCCACUCAAAAAAAAGAAAGUCCUAAUGCAAGUAAUUGAAAGUGAAGAUAUUGCAAAACAAAUAAUGACAGCUGAAUUGAUGAUAUGAUGACAGGCUCAUCCCUCCAUUGUAAACUAUGACAAGGGUCAUAGCUCACUGCAGCCUUGAACUCCUGACCUCAAGCAAUCCUCCCGCCUUGGCCUCCUAAAGCAUUGGGAUUACAGGUGUGAGCCACUGUACUGGACCAGAAUCUGCAUUUUUAACAGGAGUUCCAGCCUUGAAAAAUUUCUUUGAAGUGCCUGUGUAUGAACCAGGAAUUUCACUAUCAUUUUUAGAGUCUUCUGAAGGCUAAUGGAUUUGGUAACACACUCCCUUUUCUGUACGGCUUCUGAAAAUAUUGUUCAGCUGUAUGUGGUGUCUCACAUCUGUAAUCCCAGCAAUUUGGCAGGCCAAGGCAAGAGGACUGCUUGAAGCCAAGAGCUCAAGACCAGCCUGGGCAACAUAGUGAGACCCUGCCUCUACAAAAAUAAAUAAAUAAAAUUUUUUGAAAAAUGAAAAU